UACAGAGGCCCCAAGCGUUACUGAGAAUCACUGGGUUUAAAGGGUGCGUAGGUGGUCCGUUAAGUCUGUUGUGAAAGCCCUUGGCUCAACCAAGGAAUUGCUUCGGAUACUGGCGGACUUGAGGCUAGUAGAGGUCACUGGAACUGACGGUGGAGCGGUGAAAUGCGUAGAUAUCAGGAGGAACACCGGUGGCGAAGGCGGCAUCCUGGACCGACACUGACACUGAGGAGCGAAAGCCAGGGGAGCAAACGGG
RNAcentral lists this ribosomal RNA (253 nucleotides) under uncultured bacterium. RNAcentral describes it as "partial 16S ribosomal RNA". It matches the Rfam family "Bacterial small subunit ribosomal RNA", at positions 524 to 776 of the family's 1533-position model. The record is from RNAcentral.